This 390-nucleotide ribosomal RNA is filed under the name uncultured bacterium. Its description in RNAcentral is "bacterial SSU rRNA". It matches the Rfam family "Bacterial small subunit ribosomal RNA", at positions 29 to 419 of the family's 1533-position model. The record is from RNAcentral.
AUUAAACGCUGGCGGCAUGCCUUACACAUGCAAGUCGAACGGCAGCACGGGGGCAACCCUGGUGGCGAGUGGCGAACGGGUGAGUAAAGCAUCGGAACGUGCCCUGGAGUGGGGGGAUAACGUAGCGAAAGUUACGCUAAUACCGCAUAUUCUGUGAGCAGGAAAGCAGGGGAUCGCAAGACCUUGCGCUCUGGGAGCGGCCGAUGUCGGAUUAGCUAGUUGGUGGGGUAAAGGCCUACCAAGGCGACGAUCCGUAGCGGGUCUGAGAGGAUGAUCCGCCACACUGGGACUGAGACACGGCCCAGACUCCUACGGGAGGCAGCAGUGGGGAAUUUUGGACAAUGGGCGAAAGCCUGAUCCAGCCAUGCCGCGUGAGUGAAGAAGGCCUUC